RNAcentral lists this ribosomal RNA (854 nucleotides) under Salmonella enterica subsp. enterica serovar Anatum. RNAcentral's name for it is "bacterial LSU rRNA". It matches the Rfam family "Bacterial large subunit ribosomal RNA", at positions 516 to 1286 of the family's 2925-position model. Lineage: Bacteria; Pseudomonadati; Pseudomonadota; Gammaproteobacteria; Enterobacterales; Enterobacteriaceae. The record is from RNAcentral.
GAAAAGAACCCCGGCGAGGGGAGUGAAAAAGAACCUGAAACCGUGUACGUACAAGCAGUGGGAGCACAGGUUUACCUGUGUGACUGCGUACCUUUUGUAUAAUGGGUCAGCGACUUAUAUUCUGUAGCAAGGUUAACCGAAUAGGGGAGCCGGAGGGAAACCGAGUCUUAAUUGGGCGUUAAGUUGCAGGGUAUAGACCCGAAACCCGGUGAUCUAGCCAUGGGCAGGUUGAAGGUUGGGUAACACUAACUGGAGGACCGAACCGACUAAUGUUGAAAAAUUAGCGGAUGACCUGUGGCUGGGGGUGAAAGGCCAAUCAAACCGGGAGAUAGCUGGUUCUCCCCGAAAGCUAUUUAGGUAGCGCCUCGUGAAUUCAUCUCCGGGGGUAGAGCACUGUUUCGGCUAGGGGGCCAUCCCGGCUUACCAACCCGAUGCAAACUGCGAAUACCGGAGAAUGUUAUCACGGGAGACACACGGCGGGUGCUAACGUCCGUCGUGAAGAGGGAAACAACCCAGACCGCCAGCUAAGGUCCCAAAGUCAUGGUUAAGUGGGAAACGAUGUGGGAAGGCCCAGACAGCCAGGAUGUUGGCUUAGAAGCAGCCAUCAUUUAAAGAAAGCGUAAUAGCUCACUGGUCGAGUCGGCCUGCGCGGAAGAUGUAACGGGGCUAAACCAUGCACCGAAGCUGCGGCAGCGAACGUAUCACUUAAAGCGAUUCAGCGGGUUACGAUUGACGGAGCGAAGCGACGUCAAAGCGUAUACAAAGUCGAGUCGGUUUAAGGAUACGUUCGUUGGGUAGGGGAGCGUUCUGUAAGCCUGCGAAGGUGGCCUGUGAGGGUUGCUGGAGGUAUCAGA